CUGCUGCUCUAUAUACACAGACUAGAAAUCACUGGCCACUUUAAUAAAUGGAUCACUAGUCACUUUAUAUAAUGUUUCCUACCCUACAUUACUCAUCUCAUAUGUAUAUACUGUAUUCUAUACUAUACUACUGUAUCUUGCCUAUGCCGUCCAGCCAUCGCUCAUCCAUAUAUUUGUAUGUAUAUAUUCUUGUUCCAUUCCUAAACUUAGAUUUGUGUGCAUUAGGUAGUUGUUGUGGAAUUGUUAGAUUACUUGUUAGAUAUUACUGCACUGUCGGAACUAGAAGCACAAGCAUUUCACUACACUCACAUUAACAUCUGCUACCCAUGUGUAUGUGACCAAUAAAACUUGAUUUGAGAGAAACCCUCCUGUAGGUUUUAACUCCAACCCUGUUCCUGGAGAGAUAACCUCCUGUAGGUUUUAACUCCAACCCUGUUCCUGGAGAGAUAUCCUCCUGUAGGUUUUAACUCCAACCCUGUUCCUGGAGAGAUAACCUCCUGUAGGUUUUAACUCCAACUCUAAUCUAGCCAACCUGAUUCUAAUAAUCAGUUGGUUGAUAAACUGAAUCAUGUUAGUUACAACUGGGGUUGGGACGAAAACCUACAGGAGGAUGUCUCUCCAGGAAGUGAAGCUCAGCCGGAUCAUUUACAUUACAUUUAAGUCAUUUAGCAGACGCUCUUAUCCAGAGCGACUUACAAAUUGGUGCAUUCACCUUAUAAUAUCCAGUGGAACAACCACUUACAAUAGUGCAUCUAAAUCUUUUAAGGGGGGGGGGGGUUAGAAGGAUUACUUUAUCCUAUCCCAGGUAUUCCUUGAAGAGGUGGGGUUUCAGGUGUCUCCGGAAGGUGGUGAUUGACUCCGCUGUCCUGGCGUCGUGAGGGAGCUUGUUCCACCAUUGGGGUGCCAGAGCAGCGAACAGUUUUGACUGGGCUGAGCGGGAACUGUGCUUCCUCAGAGGUAGGGGGGCCAGCAGGCCAGAGGUGGAUGAGCGCAGACUUAACCUCUCGUUUACCUCCAUGACACUAACGCUCAGCCGGAUCAGACUUAACCUCUCGUUUACC
This 1061-nucleotide long non-coding RNA is filed under the name Salmo salar (Atlantic salmon). RNAcentral's name for it is "lncRNA (ENSSSAG00000100059.1)". The record is from RNAcentral. Lineage: Eukaryota; Metazoa; Chordata; Actinopteri; Salmoniformes; Salmonidae.